This 484-nucleotide ribosomal RNA is filed under the name uncultured bacterium. RNAcentral's name for it is "partial 16S ribosomal RNA". It matches the Rfam family "Bacterial small subunit ribosomal RNA", at positions 28 to 507 of the family's 1533-position model. The record is from RNAcentral.
AUUGAACGCUGGCGGCAUGCUUUACACAUGCAAGUCGAACGGCAGCGCGGGCUUCGGCCUGGCGGCGAGUGGCGAACGGGUGAGUAAUGCAUCGGAACGUGCCCAGUAGUGGGGGAUAGCCCGGCGAAAGCCGGAUUAAUACCGCAUACGACCUGAGGGUGAAAGCGGGGGACCGAAAGGCGUCGCGCUAUUGGAGCGGCCGAUGUCGGAUUAGCUAGUUGGUGGGGUAAAGGCUUACCAAGGCGACGAUCCGUAGCUGGUCUGAGAGGACGACCAGCCACACUGGGACUGAGACACGGCCCAGACUCCUACGGGAGGCAGCAGUGGGGAAUUUUGGACAAUGGGGGCAACCCUGAUCCAGCCAUGCCGCGUGCGGGAAGAAGGCCUUCGGGUUGUAAACCGCUUUUGUUCGGGAAGAAAUCCUCUGGGCUAAUACCCCGGGGGGAUGACGGUACCGGAAGAAUAAGCACCGGCUAACUACGUG